UACGUAGGGGGCAAGCGUUGUCCGGAUUUAUUGGGCGUAAAGCGCGUGUAGGCGGCCAGAUAGGUCUGCUGUGAAAACUCGAGGCUCAACCUCGAGCUGUCGGCGGAAACCAUCUGGCUAGAGUCCGGAAGAGGAGAGUGGAAUUCCUGGUGUAGCGGUGAAAUGCGCAGAUAUCAGGAAGAACACCUAUGGCGAAGGCAGCUCUCUGGGACGGUAGUGACGCUGAGACGCGAAAGCGUGGGGAGCGAACAGG
This 253-nucleotide ribosomal RNA is filed under the name uncultured bacterium. RNAcentral describes it as "partial 16S ribosomal RNA". It matches the Rfam family "Bacterial small subunit ribosomal RNA", at positions 524 to 776 of the family's 1533-position model. The record is from RNAcentral.